Long non-coding RNA from Macrobrachium nipponense, 173 nucleotides. RefSeq lists it as uncharacterized. The record is from RefSeq and is a predicted model, not a curated record. The transcript has 3 exons. Lineage: Eukaryota; Metazoa; Arthropoda; Malacostraca; Decapoda; Palaemonidae.
GAGGAUAAGGGCUCCGGGAAAAUGUUUCCACUAACAGAUGGGUAUACAGGUAUGGAUACAAACCGCAUCAAAGAAAUGGACAAGAAGUUUUUGGAGAACCCAUCUGGAGAUUUUCAAGAGCUUGAUAUAUCGUUGGCAUUAAAAAGAAUUGUAGCAAAGAGUCCCAAAGGGUA